This 460-nucleotide ribosomal RNA is filed under the name uncultured bacterium. RNAcentral describes it as "partial 16S ribosomal RNA". It matches the Rfam family "Bacterial small subunit ribosomal RNA", at positions 338 to 795 of the family's 1533-position model. The record is from RNAcentral.
CCUACGGGUGGCAGCAGUGAGGAAUAUUGGUCAAUGGACGAGAGUCUGAACCAGCCAAGUAGCGUGAAGGAUGACUGCCCUAUGGGUUGUAAACUUCUUUUAUAAAGGAAUAAAACGAGGCACGUGUGCCUUUUUGUAUGUACUUUAUGAAUAAGGAUCGGCUAACUCCGUGCCAGCAGCCGCGGUAAUACGGAGGAUCCGAGCGUUAUCCGGAUUUAUUGGGUUUAAAGGGAGCGUAGAUGGGUUGUUAAGUCAGUUGUGAAAGUUUGCGGCUCAACCGUAAAAUUGCAAUUGAUACUGGCAGUCUUGAGUACAGUAGAGGUAGGCGGAAUUCGUGGUGUAGCGGUGAAAUGCUUAGAUAUCACGAAGAACCCCGAUUGCGAAGGCAGCUUACUAGACUGUAACUGACAUUGAGGCUCGAAAGUGUGGGUAUCAAACAGGAUUAGAUACCCGUGUAGUC